Long non-coding RNA from Sciurus carolinensis (gray squirrel), 707 nucleotides. RefSeq lists it as uncharacterized. The transcript has 3 exons. The record is from RefSeq and is a predicted model, not a curated record. NCBI's taxonomy places the organism in Eukaryota, Metazoa, Chordata, Mammalia, Rodentia, Sciuridae.
CUGCAAAUGAAAAGAGAAUUCAAAGAGUGAAGAAUGCUCAGCUAGCUCAAGAAAGAGCUUCAUAUUUAGAAAUGAAUAUCAUUGGAAAUUUGAAAAGGUGCAUGAGGGAUUUCACAACUCCCUGUCACUUUCUGCUGUUAAUUGGAACUGAAAAUGGACCCUUUUUGUGUAGCACGAUGGCACAUCAUGUAUAGCACCAUGAUCACUCUUCCAGCAAUGAAUGCCUGAGAGGUCCUCUUCCAGUGUAGCUCACAAUUCUUCCUUGCUCUCUGGGCCUGCCGAUCCUUCUCUGCCUUACAUGAGCUGUGACCUGCAAUUCCUGAUUAGCAUUAUGGAUCGCUAGUCCAUUACCAGCACCCUCUCCAGUGGUUUCUCUUUGCCUAUCUAUGACCUGGUAGCUGAACUUUCCCACUGUAGUUUUUCUCAACAGAGCUAAAUUCUUGAAAAGCCCAUAAAGAAUUGAUUUUGUUUGUUCUUUGUAGUGGUUUUCUGCUUGAAAUAAAUCAAGUAUAUGCAUCUUCCACUUUCUGUAAAACUGGCCACUUGGAGAAUCUCAUCUCGAAUACUCUCGUUACAGCAGACUUCUGCAUUUCCUGGCUUUUAAUCUCCUUGGGUUGCCUUGUACUAAUAGAUUAAAAAAAAAAAAAAAAUCCAAAUACUGUGAUCACAAUUCCUUAGAGAAGAAGAAAUAAAUCAACAGCUGUUUA